RNAcentral lists this ribosomal RNA (465 nucleotides) under uncultured bacterium. RNAcentral's name for it is "partial 16S ribosomal RNA". It matches the Rfam family "Bacterial small subunit ribosomal RNA", at positions 28 to 507 of the family's 1533-position model. The record is from RNAcentral.
GACGAACGCUGGCGGCGUGCUUAACACAUGCAAGUCGAACGGAAAGGCCCCUUUGGGGGUACUCGAGUGGCGAACGGGUGAGUAACACGUGAGUAACCUGCCCUUGACUUCGGGAUAACUUCAGGAAACUGGGGCUAAUACCGUAUAGGAAUCCUUGCUGCAUGGUGGGGGUUGGAAAGCUUCGGCGGUUUUGGAUGGACUCGCGGCUUAUCAGCUUGUUGGUGGGGUAGUGGCUUACCAAGGCUUUGACGGGUAGCCGGCCUGAGAGGGCGACCGGCCACAGUGGGACUGGGAUACGGCCCAGACUCCUACGGGAGGCAGCGGUGGGGAAGAUUGAACAAUGGGCGGAAGCCUGAUGCAGCAACGCCGCGGGCGGGAUGACGGCCUUCGGGUUGUAAACCGCUUUCAGCAGGGGCGAAGCUGGUGGUGACGGUACCUGCAGAAGAAGCACCGACUAACUACGUG